Molecule: ribosomal RNA, 647 nt
Filed under: uncultured bacterium
Lineage: Bacteria
Description: bacterial SSU rRNA
Rfam family: Bacterial small subunit ribosomal RNA
Source: RNAcentral
GCAGUUAACACAUUAAGUGUACCGCCUGGGGAGUACGGUCGCAAGAUUAAAACUCAAAGGAAUAGACGGGGACCCGCACAAGCGGUGGAGCAUGUGGUUUAAUUCGACGAUACGCGAAGAACCUUACCUGGCCUUGACAUAAGCAGAACAUAAUAGAGAUAUAUUGGUGCUAGUUUACUAGAACUGCUAUACAGGUGCUGCACGGCUGUCGUCAGCUCGUGUCGUGAGAUGUUGGGUUAAGUCCCGCAACGAGCGCAACCCUCGUGUCUAGUUACUAACAGUUCGGCUGAGGACUCUAGACAGACUGCCUGGGUAACCAGGAGGAAGGUGAGGACGACGUCAAGUCAUCAUGGCCCUUACGGCCAGGGCUACACACGUGCUACAAUGGGGUAUACAGAGAGCAGCAAUACCGCGAGGUGGAGCAAAUCUUUAAAAUAUCUCCCAGUUCGGAUAGCACUCUGCAACUCGAGUGCUUGAAGUUGGAAUCGCUAGUAAUCGUGAAUCAGCAAUGUCACGGUGAAUACGUUCCCGGGUCUUGUACUCACCGCCCGUCACACCAUGGGAGUUGAAUUCAUUCGAAGCGGGGAUGCUAAAGUAGCUACCUUCCACAGUGGAUUUAGUAACUAGGGUGAAGUCGUAACAAGGUA